UACGUAGGGUGCGAGCGUUGUCCGGAAUUAUUGGGCGUAAAGAGCUCGUAGGCGGUGUGUCACGUCGGCCGUGAAAACCUACAGCUUAACUGUGGGCUUGCUUUCGAUACGGGCAGACUUGAGGCAUGCAGGGGAGAACGGAAUUCCUGGUGUAGCGGUGAAAUGCGCAGAUAUCAGGAGGAACACCGGUGGCGAAGGCGGUUCUCUGGGCAUGUUCUGACGCUGAGGAGCGAAAGUGUGGGGAGCGAACAGG
RNAcentral lists this ribosomal RNA (253 nucleotides) under uncultured bacterium. RNAcentral describes it as "partial 16S ribosomal RNA". It matches the Rfam family "Bacterial small subunit ribosomal RNA", at positions 524 to 776 of the family's 1533-position model. The record is from RNAcentral.